CACAUUGAUGAUGAUGAUCUGAUUAACUAUAUUGUCUCUGGUUUGAAUCCUUCUUUCCUUCCUUUUAUCACAUCUCUUUCUAUUGCUUCCCGAGAUAGAACUAUCUGUUUUGAAGAUUUUCAAGC
Molecule: small nucleolar RNA, 125 nt
Organism: Magnolia sinica
Lineage: Eukaryota; Viridiplantae; Streptophyta; Magnoliopsida; Magnoliales; Magnoliaceae
Product: small nucleolar RNA Z247
Exons: 1
Source: RefSeq, a predicted model, not a curated record